GGUAGCUCAGCAGGAUAGAGCAAUGGCCUUCUAAGCCAUCGGUCGGGGGUUCGAAUCCCUCCC
RNAcentral lists this transfer RNA (63 nucleotides) under uncultured Nosocomiicoccus sp. It matches the Rfam family "tRNA", at positions 6 to 65 of the family's 71-position model. Rfam says of the family: Transfer RNA (tRNA) molecules are approximately 80 nucleotides in length. The record is from RNAcentral. Lineage: Bacteria; Bacillati; Bacillota; Bacilli; Caryophanales; Staphylococcaceae.